This 254-nucleotide ribosomal RNA is filed under the name uncultured bacterium. Its description in RNAcentral is "partial 16S ribosomal RNA". It matches the Rfam family "Bacterial small subunit ribosomal RNA", at positions 524 to 777 of the family's 1533-position model. The record is from RNAcentral.
UACGAAGGGGGCUAGCGUUGUUCGGAAUUACUGGGCGUAAAGCGCGCGUAGGCGGACCUGCAAGUCGGGGGUGAAAGCCCGAGGCUCAACCUCGGAACUGCCUUCGAUACUGCGGGUCUCGAGUCCGGGAGAGGUGAGUGGAAUUCCUAGUGUAGAGGUGAAAUUCGUAGAUAUUAGGAAGAACACCAGUGGCGAAGGCGGCUCACUGGCCCGGUACUGACGCUGAGGCGCGAAAGCGUGGGGAGCAAACAGGG